RNAcentral lists this unclassified non-coding RNA (148 nucleotides) under soil metagenome. RNAcentral describes it as "partial internal transcribed spacer 1". The record is from RNAcentral.
CCGAGUUUACAACUCCCAAACCCCUGUGAACAUACCUAUACGUUGCCUCGGCGGAUCAGCCCGCGCCCCGUAAAACGGGACGGCCCGCCAGAGGACCCCUAAACUCUGUUUCUUAGUGGAACUUCUGAGUAAAACCAUAAAUAAAUCA